Molecule: ribosomal RNA, 768 nt
Filed under: uncultured bacterium
Lineage: Bacteria
Description: bacterial SSU rRNA
Rfam family: Bacterial small subunit ribosomal RNA
Source: RNAcentral
UCGUACGAGAAAGCCCGGGCAACUGGGUGAGUAAAGUGGCGCACGGGUGAGUAACACGUGGGUAACCUGCCCUCGAGUCGGGGAUAACUCCGCGAAAGCGGGGCUAAUACCGGAUAACGUGUCGAUGUCCUCGGACGUUGAAACCAAAGGUGGCCUCUGCAUGCAAGCUAUCACUUGAGGAUGGGCCCGCGUACCAUUAGCUAGUUGGUAGGGUAAUGGCCUACCAAGGCGACGAUGGUUAGCUGGUCUGAGAGGAUGACCAGCCACACUGGAACUGAGACACGGUCCAGACUCCUACGGGAGGCAGCAGUGGGGAAUCUUGCGCAAUGGGGGAAACCCUGACGCAGCAACGCCGCGUGGGUGAUGAAGGCCUUCGGGUCGUAAAGCCCUGUCAGGUGGGAAGAAACAUGUUGAUGUCAAUACCAUCAGCACUUGACGGUACCACCGGAGGAAGCACCGGCUAACUCCGUGCCAGCAGCCGCGGUAAUACGGAGGGUGCAAGCGUUGUUCGGAAUUAUUGGGCGUAAAGCGCGUGUAGGCGGUCAUGAAAGUCAGAUGUGAAAUCCUUCCGCUUAACGGGAGAAGUGCAUUUGAAACUCCAUGACUGGAGUACGGGAGAGGAGAGUGGAAUUCCCGGUGUAGAGGUGAAAUUCGUAGAUAUCGGGAGGAACACCAGUGGCGAAGGCGGCUCUCUGGCCUGAUACUGACGCUGAGACGCGAAAGCGUGGGGAGCAAACAGGAUUAGAUACCCUGGUAGUCCACGCCGUA